Molecule: small nuclear RNA, 120 nt
Filed under: Wallemia ichthyophaga EXF-994
Lineage: Eukaryota; Fungi; Basidiomycota; Wallemiomycetes; Wallemiales; Wallemiaceae
Description: U5 spliceosomal RNA
Rfam family: U5 spliceosomal RNA
About the family: U5 RNA is a component of both types of known spliceosome. The precise function of this molecule is unknown, though it is known that the 5' loop is required for splice site selection and p220 binding, and that both the 3' stem-loop and the Sm site are important for Sm protein binding and cap methylation.
Source: Rfam by way of RNAcentral
AGCGCGUGGGUUGGCGGUCAACGAAUGCACAUCUUGCCUUUUCCUAGAUUCACGUGCCCGGGCCGUCGACCACUACGAAGCGCUUUAAUAAUUUCUGGAAUCUCAGCAACUAGCUGCAAU